Molecule: long non-coding RNA, 1227 nt
Organism: Impatiens glandulifera
Lineage: Eukaryota; Viridiplantae; Streptophyta; Magnoliopsida; Ericales; Balsaminaceae
Exons: 5
Source: RefSeq, a predicted model, not a curated record
GUGGUACAAAAAGAUGGGGGUCACGAAGAGGAAGUACCUGAAGUGGUGGCUCCAAAAAAACUCAGAAAAAAUCCCUACGACAAAUGAAAAUUCCAGCACGCUUUCAAUCUCCAUAUAUGACGCAGAACAAGCAAAUAAAUCAACCGAAGAACUUCAAGUCUGCCCAAAUAGAUCACCGAGAUGAAGUCGUACCUGAUGUGGUGGUACAAAAAGAGGGUGGUAACGAAGAGGAAGUACUUAAAGUGGUGGUGACAGGAAGAGAAUUGGUGAUAGGAAGAGAAUUUGGAGGCUCUAAAAAAACAGAGAAAAUAUCCCCUACAACUUAUGAAAAUUCCAGCACGCCUUCAAUCUCCAUAUAUGAUGAAGAACAAGCAAAAAAAUCAAGCUUUCUUCGAUUCUGCCCAAAUAAAUUACCGAGAUGAAGUCGUUAUGGGGUUCAUUUAUGCAAUGAAGAUGAUGAGAAUGCGAGAAGGAAUUAUUGUAUGUAUCCGAGCAUACCAAUAUCAACAUAGGGCAAUUUCAAUCUAUGAAAAAUCAAUGCCAUGUUGAAAGUGGUAUUAUUGAUGCGUGGGCAAACAUUACGACAUCUUCCCACGGGAAAAUAGUUUUUUCGACAAUCAUUUCUAACCUUGUAUUAUCCAAAUAAUUGAAAAAAUGAGAAUUUUCCAAAUAACACCCGAAGACAUGAAAACUGCUAAUAUGAUAUUUUUCCCAAUUUUAUACAAAAGUCACUAUUAUGUUGUUAUCAUCAAUAUGCGAAAGAGAGUAAUCGAAAUCAUCGACAACCUUCCACUAGACCCAGAUAUGGCAUGGGAAGAUAAAUAUGUAACAACUCGGAAAAUGGUAACGUUGAAGUGUUUUUUACAUUUAAUGUAUGUUAAAGUGUUUAUUAACUUCUUUCGUAAAAUAGGUACAAAACUUUGUGGAGUUCUUCAAAACUAUCGACCUGAAGAUCGCAACCAAAAUUGCUAAAUUCCCGUUCAAAGUUUUGAAAUUAGUUUGGCAAGACAGUUCAAAUAAAACAGAUUGCGCAAUAUACUGUAUGAGACAUAUUCAAACUUACAUGGGCGAUGCAAAUUGGGAUUGUGGUAUAACCAUAACAAAUGCAAGGGGAAUGCUUGAAGCUUUACGAGUCAAAUACAUUGCAUUCAUCGUCUGUUCACAUUUAAACCAAAAUUUGAGCACUAUCUUUCAGAAUUUUGUAGACAUUUUAAAAGUAGAUUGUCC